This 88-nucleotide ribosomal RNA is filed under the name Paenibacillus rhizophilus. The record is from RNAcentral. Lineage: Bacteria; Bacillati; Bacillota; Bacilli; Caryophanales; Paenibacillaceae. RNAcentral also lists the same sequence under 1 other name.
CGUACCCAUCCCGAACACGACCGUUAAGCCCUCCAGCGCCGAUGGUACUUGGACCGAAGGGUCCUGGGAGAGUAGGACGCCGCCAAGC